GCCAGCAUGGUUUAGUGGUGUGAGUGCUGGACUACAAAACUGGAGAUCUGGUUUCAAUUCCCAGCUUGGCC
Non-coding RNA from Phrynosoma platyrhinos (Desert horned lizard), 71 nucleotides. Lineage: Eukaryota; Metazoa; Chordata; Lepidosauria; Squamata; Phrynosomatidae. The record is from the annotation of a GenBank genome assembly.